CCUGGCCUGCUGCUGUCCAUGGGGUCACAAAGAGUUGGACAUGACUGAGCUACUGAACUGAACUGAGGUCAGAUAUGACUGUGGUGUGAUUUUUAACAUCACCACCAGAGGGCGGGGCUUCCUUCAUAUGCGAUUCCUUUUUGUAUUCAGGGGCUGGUUUGACUUGCCUCCUCUGUAGUCACAAGACAGAUGACUGCUGCUGUGCAGAAAGGCAUUCCCAUUUUCUGAGUGAGGAGCUUCUGUAACAUCCAGCUGAAGACUACCUUUGUUAGAUUUGAUGUUUCUAGGGAACAAGGACUGUCGCCAGAAUGUUUUCUGCCCCUCACUCAGUUCUGGUCAUCUUCUUAAUACUUGGAGGGACCAAUGGUGACUCAGUGAACCAGAGAGAAGGCCCAGUGACUGUCUCAGAGGGGGCUCUCAUGACCCUGAACUGCACUUACCAGACCACGUAUUCAGAUCCCUAUCUUUUUUGGUACAUCCAGCGUCUCAACAAAGCUCCUCAACUCCUCUUGAAGGGCUCAAUGACAAACCAGAGGCCCGAGCAUGAAGGUUUUCAGGCCACUCUUGAUAAGAGGGACAGCUCCUUCCACCUGCAGAAACGGGCAGUGCAAGCAUCAGACUCGGCUGUGUACUACUGUGCUCUGAGGGACACAGUGAUGGAGGGCUGCAGGGGGAGCUGAGCACAAACCCAAGGCGAGCAGGAGGCUGACGUCAGGAAGACGUAUAUUCUCUCCUUGA
Molecule: non-coding RNA, 738 nt
Organism: Cervus elaphus (red deer)
Lineage: Eukaryota; Metazoa; Chordata; Mammalia; Artiodactyla; Cervidae
Source: the annotation of a RefSeq genome assembly